GCCGUCCUGCUUUGAAACCCCGUCGUCUGCUCCUUCUUCUUCUUAAAAAAUAGAGUAGGGCGAGAAGGUCUCGGACAAGGUGUUCUCACUCUACAACUCUCUUCCCAAGAAAGGCAAGCCUCAGGGUCGCGAAGUCACCGUCUUGGCUGCUUUCCUCGUUUCCUCUCCUUCUCAAGAAUUGGAAGUUGUCGCGCUGGGAAGUGGGACCAAAUGUCUUGGGCGUUCACUCUUGAGCUCCAACGGUGAUGUCGUCAAUGAUUCCCACGCCGAGAUUAUAGCUCGAAGAUCUUUACUGAGGUUCUUCUAUGCACAGAUUCAGUGUCUUACUCAAGUUUAUAGUAAGCAAAGUGAUAGC
Non-coding RNA from Prunus mume (Japanese apricot), 355 nucleotides. Lineage: Eukaryota; Viridiplantae; Streptophyta; Magnoliopsida; Rosales; Rosaceae. The record is from RefSeq and is a predicted model, not a curated record.